RNAcentral lists this ribosomal RNA (846 nucleotides) under Rosellinia sp. Its description in RNAcentral is "partial large subunit ribosomal RNA". It matches the Rfam family "Eukaryotic large subunit ribosomal RNA", at positions 49 to 927 of the family's 3401-position model. Lineage: Eukaryota; Fungi; Ascomycota; Sordariomycetes; Xylariales; Xylariaceae. The record is from RNAcentral.
AGCGGAGUAAGACAACAGGGAUUGCCCCAGUAACGGCGAGUGAAGCGGCAACAGCUCAAAUUUGAAAUCUGGCCCUCGGGUCCGAGUUGUAAUUUGUAGAGGAUGCUUUUGGCGCGGUGCCUUCCGAGUUCCCUGGAACGGGACGCCUUAGAGGGUGAGAGCCCCGUACGGUUGGACACCAAGCCUCUGUAAAGCUCCUUCGACGAGUCGAGUAGUUUGGGAAUGCUGCUCUAAAUGGGAGGUAAAUUUCUUCUAAAGCUAAAUAUUGGCCAGAGACCGAUAGCGCACAAGUAGAGUGAUCGAAAGAUGAAAAGCACUUUGAAAAGAGGGUUAAAUAGCACGUGAAAUUGUUGAAAGGGAAGCGUUUGCGACCAGACCUCUCCCUGGCGGAUCAUCCGGCGUUCUCGCCGGUGCACUCCGCCAGGCUGAGGCCAGCAUCGGUUUUCGCGGGGGGACAAAAGCGGGGGGAACGUAGCUCCCUCGGGAGUGUUAUAGCCCUCCGCAUAAUACCCUCGCGGGGACCGAGGACCGCGCUUCGGCAAGGAUGCUGGCGUAAUGGUCGUCAACGACCCGUCUUGAAACACGGACCAAGGAGUCGAACAUUUGUGCGAGUGUUUGGGUGUCAAACCCUCACGCGUAAUGAAGGUGAACGUAGGUGAGAGCCCUCGCGGGCGCAUCAUCGACCGAUCCUGAUGUCUUCGGAUGGAUUUGAGUAAGAGCAUAACUGUUCGGACCCGAAAGAUGGUGAACUAUGCGUGGAUAGGGUGAAGCCAGAGGAAACUCUGGUGGAGGCUCGCAGCGGUUCUGACGUGCAAAUCGAUCGUCAAAUCUGCGCAUGGGGGCGAA